Molecule: ribosomal RNA, 371 nt
Filed under: uncultured bacterium
Lineage: Bacteria
Description: bacterial SSU rRNA
Rfam family: Bacterial small subunit ribosomal RNA
Source: RNAcentral
AGAGUUUGAUCCUGGCUCAGGAUGAACGCUGGCGGCGUGCCUAACACAUGCAAGUCGAACGAAGCGAUUUGGAGGAAGUUUUCGGAUGGAAUCUGAAUUGACUGAGUGGCGGACGGGUGAGUAACGCGUGGGUAACCUGCCUCAUACAGGGGGAUAACAGUUAGAAAUGACUGCUAAUACCGCAUAAGCGCACGGAAUCGCAUGAUUCAGUGUGAAAAGCCGAGACGGUAUGAGAUGGACCCGCGUCUGAUUAGCUAGUUGGUGAGGUAACGGCCCACCAAGGCGACGAUCAGUAGCCGACCUGAGAGGGUGACCGCGGCUAAAUACGUGCCAGCAGCCGCGGUAAUACGUAUGGUGCAAGCGUUAUCCGG